Homo sapiens (human) is the source of this 640-nucleotide long non-coding RNA. Ensembl annotates it as complement component 3 precursor pseudogene. Its record names the gene C3P1. The record is from Ensembl. NCBI's taxonomy places the organism in Eukaryota, Metazoa, Chordata, Mammalia, Primates, Hominidae.
GGGGCAGGAGGGAGCCUGGACUUUGGAGGAUGGGGAAGGCAGGCCAGGGCCCGGAGUGGGUGAAGACUUCUCAGGACUAGGCCAGCUGCCCUCCUGACCCUGCAGGACAGUGCCCAUCCCUGCAGAAGCCCAGUGGCCAAUUGAGGCAGGAGGAGCUCCAGACAACAGCAUGUGAGGCAGGCGUGGAUUUUGUGUACAAGACAAAGCUGGAAUCUGUGGAGGUCUCUGCCUCCAACCCUUACGUCUAUUACAACACGCAGCUCGAAGACAUCAUUAAGAGUGGUACGGACCCUGCCACACCCCUGGCCAUGAAGAAAUUCGUCUCCCAUGCCACUUGCCAUGACUCCCUGGGGUUGCAAGAACAGGAAUCGUACCUCAUCAUGGGCCAGACGUCAGACCUGUGGAGAAUCAAAUCUGAUUACAGCUAUGUUCUGGGCAAGGAGACGUUCCUCAUCCUUUGGCCAGCAGAUGGAGAUGCCAGCAAGAAAGAAUUGCGGGACCAACUGGAGGAAUUUUUGGAAUAUAUGCGCACCCACGGCUGCCAGUCCUGAGCCUCUUCUGCUUUCAGGGAGGUGUCAUCAGGCAGCUCUGGGCCACUGGGUUUAACCCCAAAUAAAGAGCACAGGAUAUGACACCCAAA